CCAGCACAACCGCGUUUUAAUCUGAAUCCAGCUUGAUUAGAGCCUUCCUGUCUCAUAUUGCCAUCAGUCUAUUUCAGUAGAAAGGAAGCCUAAUUUGCGUAUAAUGGAGCAACAUAGACCCGUUCGUAUUGCAUGCAAUUGAUCGGAGUUAGAGCGUAUGCGCUGGUACCCGAAAGAUGGUGAACUAUGCCUGAGCAGGAUGAAGCCAGAGGAAACUCUGGUGGAAGUCCGAAGCGGUUCUGACGUGCAAAUCGAUCGUCCGACUCGGGUAUAGGGGCGAAAGACUAAUCGAACCAUCUAGUAGCUGG
Molecule: non-coding RNA, 308 nt
Filed under: Dracunculus medinensis (Guinea worm)
Lineage: Eukaryota; Metazoa; Nematoda; Chromadorea; Rhabditida; Dracunculidae
Description: Eukaryotic large subunit ribosomal RNA
Rfam family: Eukaryotic large subunit ribosomal RNA
Source: Rfam by way of RNAcentral